CCUACGGGUGGCUGCAGUGGGGAAUAUUGCACAAUGGGGGAAACCCUGAUGCAGCGACGCCGCGUGAGUGAAGAAGUAAUUCGUUAUGUAAAGCCCUAUCAGCAGGGAAGAAAAUGACGGUACCUGUGUAAGAAGCCCCGGCCAACUACGUGCAAGCAGCCGCGGGAAAACGGAGGGGGCAAGGGUUAUCCGGAUUUACUGGGUGCAAAGGGAGCGUAGACGGCAGUGCAAGUCUGGAGUGAAGGGCGGGGGCUCAACCCCCGGACUGUUCUGGAAACUGUACGGCUGGAGUGCAGGAGAGGUAGGUGGAAUUCCUGGUGUAGCGGUGAAAUGCGUAGAGAUUAGGAGGAACACCAGUGGCGAAGGCGGCUUACUGGACUGUGACUGACGUUGAGGCUCGAAAGCGUGGGGAGCAAACAGGAUUAGAUACCCUAGUAGUC
This 440-nucleotide ribosomal RNA is filed under the name uncultured bacterium. Its description in RNAcentral is "partial 16S ribosomal RNA". It matches the Rfam family "Bacterial small subunit ribosomal RNA", at positions 338 to 795 of the family's 1533-position model. The record is from RNAcentral.